Molecule: ribosomal RNA, 837 nt
Filed under: Staphylococcus aureus
Lineage: Bacteria; Bacillati; Bacillota; Bacilli; Caryophanales; Staphylococcaceae
Description: partial 23S ribosomal RNA
Rfam family: Bacterial large subunit ribosomal RNA
Source: RNAcentral
AAACCCGGUACUCGUUAAGGCUGAGCUGUGUUUGGGAGAAUACAUUGUGUCUUCGAUUCGUUGUUUUUACUCUGCCGAGUAAAACCUCUAGCUAGAAAAUCGGUUCCCGUACCGAAAACCGACACAGGUAGUCAAGAUGAGAAUUCUAAGGUGAGCGAGCGAACUCUCGUUAAGGAACUCGGCAAAAUGACCCCGUAACUUCGGGUGAAGGGGUGCUCUUUAGGGUUAACGCCCAGAAGAGCCGCAGUGAAUAGGCCCAAGCGACUGUUUAUCAAAAACACAGGUCUCUGCUAAACCGUAAGGUGAUGUAUAGGGGCUGACGCCUGCCCGGUGCUGGAAGGUUAAGAGGAGUGGUUAGCUUCUGCGAAGCUACGAAUCGAAGCCCCAGUAAACGGCGGCCGUAACUAUAACGGUCCUAAGGUAGCGAAAUUCCUUGUCGGGUAAGUUCCGACCCGCACGAAAGGCGUAACGAUUUGGGCACUGUCUCAACGAGAGACUCGGUGAAAUCAUAGUACCUGGGAAGAUGCAGGUUACCCGCGACAGGACGGAAAGACCCCGUGGAGCUUUACUGUAGCCUGAUAUUGAAAUUCGGCACAGCUUGUACAGGAUAGGUAGGAGCCUUUGAAACGUGAGCGCUAGCUUACGUGGAGGCGCUGGUGGGAUACUACCCUAGCUGUGUUGGCUUUCUAACCCGCACCACUUAUCGUGGUGGGAGACAGUGUCAGGCGGGCAGUUUGACUGGGGCGGUCGCCUCCUAAAAGGUAACGGAGGCGCUCAAAGGUUCCCUCAGAAUGGUUGGAAAUCAUUCAUAGAGUGUAAAGGCAUAAGGGAGCUUGA